ACGUAGGGUGCAAGCGUUGUCCGGAUUUAUUGGGCGUAAAGAGCUCGUAGGCGGUUUGUCGCGUCGGAUGUGAAAACCUAUGGCUUAACCAUGGGCCUGCAUUCGAUACGGGCAAACUAGAGUUCGGUAGGGGAGACUGGAAUUCCUGGUGUAGCGGUGAAAUGCGCAGAUAUCAGGAGGAACACCGGUGGCGAAGGCGGGUCUCUGGGCCGAUACUGACGCUGAGGAGCGAAAGCGUGGGGAGCAAACAGG
This 252-nucleotide ribosomal RNA is filed under the name uncultured bacterium. RNAcentral's name for it is "partial 16S ribosomal RNA". It matches the Rfam family "Bacterial small subunit ribosomal RNA", at positions 525 to 776 of the family's 1533-position model. The record is from RNAcentral.